AGGCAGCAGUGGGGAAUUUUGGACAAUGGGCGCAAGCCUGAUCCAGCAAUGCCGCGUGCAGGAUGAAGGCCUUCGGGUUGUAAACUGCUUUUGUACGGAACGAAACGGUCCUUUUUAAUACAGAGGGCUAAUGACGGUACCGUAAGAAUAAGCACCGGCUAACUACGUGCCAGCAGCCGCGGUAAUACGUAGGGUGCGAGCGUUAAUCGGAAUUACUGGGCGUAAAGCGUGCGCAGGCGGUUAUGUAAGACAGAUGUGAAAUCCCCGGGCUCAACCUGGGACCUGCAUUUGUGACUGCAUAGCUAGAGUACGGUAGAGGGGGAUGGAAUUCCGCGUGUAGCAGUGAAAUGCGUAGAUAUGCGGAGGAACACCGAUGGCGAAGGCAAUCCCCUGGACCUGUACUGACGCUCAUGCACGAAAGCGUGGGGAGCAAACAGGAUUAGAUACCCUGGUAG
Molecule: ribosomal RNA, 455 nt
Filed under: uncultured bacterium
Lineage: Bacteria
Description: bacterial SSU rRNA
Rfam family: Bacterial small subunit ribosomal RNA
Source: RNAcentral